AGACGGCGGGACAAAGGCCAGCCGGUGGGUCCCCAGUUUUGAGUAAUCCAGAUACGGUUCCGGGGUUCCAGGCAGCGCUCGGAGCGCAGAGCUCUCGGCACGGCCUCCGCGCCUCCCCCGAGCCCCCGAGCCAGGUGGGGCCGGGAGGGAGACCCAGGGCCUGCGCUCAGAGGCCGGGGAGUUGUGUUUAUUUUCCAGUUAUUCUUGGCCGCCGUCCACGCGAUUAUUUGGAGCAGCGCAGGGGCCUUCGGGGAGAGCUGGGGCCUUGGGGGGGUGGGGUGGGGGUCCCUUUGCCAGGCCCCACGAGUUUUAUGGCGCCGGAGCUCGGAGGGCGAAAUUACAGGCGGAAUCAAAAUGUGUAAAUUAUAGGUUUGUGUUGUAAAGAGGCCUGAGCGCGCCCGCUGGAGAAAGGCGGUUGUGGGUUCCCGGCGGACCCGCGCCAGCGCCGCGCGCGCCUCUGCGCGCUGAGCUUUUGCCGGCUCCACCCCCAGGCGCGGGGAGCCCGGACCCCGGGGCGCGGGGACACAGGGCCGCCACGCAGGCCCCCGGGCUCCGGCCCGCACCGCGUGGCCUCCCUGGCCGGCCGGAGAGAGAGGCAGCAGGCCGACUCCCGGCCUCCGGCGCGCCAGGCUCGACGACCAGCAGUCAGGACCGCGGGAGCCGGGGCGCUGUCGCCCUCCUGCCGUCCCCGCCGCGCUGGCCUUUUAGCCGCAGCUCGCCAAUUAGCUUUCGUCGGAAAUGCCUUUAUGUGCCCAGCCGCGAGCGGAGCGAAAGCUCAUUGAAGAGUUUAGACGCGUGUGCCUUGGCGGGUCGCCGGAGCGCGUUGGAAAGAAUUUCAGAAACAUCGCCGUUCAAAGCUCUCCUGACUUAAUUUUAAAUUAUUUGGCUUUUCCUGGGUUUCUUCUGCAUUCCCUUCGCCGUCUUAUCUCUUCUUUUCCCCCCUUUCAAAAAAAAUUUCCCCUUACCUUCGCUUCCUUUCCCUUCUCCCCCUCCGGGCUGGCCUCCUGCCUGCCUGCCUGCCUGCCUUCCUUCCUUCCCUCCCUCCUGGAUCCCGUCUUUCCCAUUACAUGUUCGAUUUUCUUUCUUCUUUCUCUCCUUUUUCUCCUCACAGUUGCAGGAUUUCAAAACCCCCUUCUUGCGGGCGUCUUUCCCCUUAUUUAUUUACACCAUUUUGCAUCCCUCCACGCUCCCUUGUUCCUUUCUACUUUGACUCUCUCCAUUUCUUGGCCUAGGAUGUGUUGCCAUUGAACAUCAACGUUCUUCGUUACGGAAAACCAACUGCAGCCGGUCACACUGGCCUCAAGAAAACCAGAAAGGGGAGGAGAACAUUUUAAGAACCUUCCAGAAGUCCUGCGUUGGGUUAGCACCAGCCCUUCCAGGACUGGGUGUGUUGGAGAGGCGGAGGGGCUGGAAGGUUACUAAGAGCUCAGAUGUUCCAUAGUCAGUGGGACUGUCCAUUGGGACGGGUGACAUACCCAGCUACCAGCUGUCCCUCCUGUGUGUUACUACUGCCUGCCUGUGCAUACCAGGCUCUGUCCCCUUCUGAGGCCCAUUUGAUUCCCACCUCCGUUCUGAGAGCCCAGGCGACCGCCUUGCCAAUGGUUGGCGAGAAUUUCAAGAAGGCAAAAAACCCAUCCGAUGUUAAAAUCCUUCUCAGACCACCUAGCUCCCUUCCAGGAUGACAGAUGUCUAUUUGCCAGCCCCACCACCCAGCCCACGCCUCCCCCUUCUCAACAGCUGUUCAUCCAUUGUUAUAUUUAUUAGGUAAAUAUAAAUCCCAUAAAUACACCUGCAUGAAAAGCGUCAUGUUCCAUAAUUUGCUGUUCAGAGCCACCAACAUCCAUCUUCCCGCCAGUCCCCGUCUUCGGUUUGACAAGGAGGGUCCACACUCUGGCCCCUUUUGCUAAGUGAUGAGAAUAUUAACAUCUGACCACGCUGCCCCCGUAAGUAGCCUCUACCCCAUCUACCUUUCCAAAGCUUCCUUAUUAAUAAGAGGUCAUUUCCUCCCCAGGCCUUAAACUCAGCCUGCAGCGCGGACCAGACGGGGAGAAAAUGUUGACAUCUCCCGGCCCUGUGGCGAUACCGGGGUGAUCAUAGCCUCCUUCGGGGAGAGGCUGGCUGGGGACCCAUGCUGGGGGCUUCUGGAAGCAGAGAAACAGGUGCUCCUGUGUGGAGAUCACCGAGGGGACUUCAGGGACAGAAACACUGGUAGCCGCUUCACAGUUCAUUUUCCCGGAGCACAUGCUCUUUAUGUCUGGCUUUCUGGAAUGAUCCAAGCAGCUGGCUGAUGAGCCCUAUUUCUUUCCGUCGUUACUGCCUGGCUCUCUUAAAGCUCAGACACCACUAAGAAGAUGGGUCAAGAUGGAAAUAUGUAAUUAACACACGGUGCUGGCGAGGGCGUGGGGAACAGGAAAUCCCAGAAGCCACGAGCAGGGAGAAGAUAGAUGGUUACAGCCAAUACGGGGAGGGGGGAUUUGAUGUACCCGCCAAACUAUCCUUUGACUCAGCGACUCCUCCCCCCACCCCAGAUGUUGACCCUACAGAUGUGAUCCUACAACCCGCAAAUUGCAAAUGUGUAAAGAUGUUCAAUGUGGCACUUCUUUGAUAGGAAAAAAAAUUGAUAGCUUGGUCCGUUUUAAUGGGGUUCUGGUUAAAUUAACUCUGGGGAAAGAAC
This 2674-nucleotide long non-coding RNA is filed under the name Lynx pardinus (Iberian lynx). Lineage: Eukaryota; Metazoa; Chordata; Mammalia; Carnivora; Felidae. The record is from RNAcentral.